This 406-nucleotide ribosomal RNA is filed under the name uncultured bacterium. Its description in RNAcentral is "partial 16S ribosomal RNA". It matches the Rfam family "Bacterial small subunit ribosomal RNA", at positions 30 to 526 of the family's 1533-position model. The record is from RNAcentral.
AUCGAACGCUGGCGGCAAGCCUAACACAUGCAAGUCGAACGAGUGGCGGACGGGUGAGUAAUGUCUGGGAAACUGCCUGAUGGAGGGGGAUAACUACUGGAAACGGUGGCUAAUACCGCAUACCAUCGGAUGUGCCCAGAUGGGAUUAGCUAGUAGGUGGGGUAAAGGCUCACCUAGGCGACGAUCCCUAGCUGGUCUGAGAGGAUGCUCAGCCCCAGUUGAACUGAGACACGGUCCAGACUCCUACGGGAGGCAGCGGUGGGGAAUAUGGCACAAUGGGCGCAAGCCUGAUGCAGCCAUGCCGCGUGUAUGAAUAAGGCCUUCGGGUUGUAAAGUACUUUCAGCGGGGAGGCGUUACCCGCAGAAGAAGCACCGGCUAACUCCGUGCCAGCAGCCGCGGUAAUUC